GCUAGGUGUGGUAACAUGUAUAGCUAAUCCCUGCUACUGGGAGGUGAAGGCUGGUGGAUUAGAUGAGCUCAGGAGUUCUGAGCUGCAAUGGGCUGAGUUGAUUGGAUGUCCACAUUAACUCUGGCACCAAUAUAGUGAGUUCCGGGGAUCAGGGGCCACUGGGCUGCCUCAGGAGAGGCAAACCUGCCCAGGUUGAAAACUUAGAAGAUCAAAGCUCCUAUGCAGACCAUUGUGGGAGAUCAGAGCUACAACCCUUGAGUGGUUGUUGCAUUUUCAGCCUGGGCAAGAUGGAAAACCUGGA
This 301-nucleotide non-coding RNA is filed under the name Phascolarctos cinereus (koala). The record is from RNAcentral. Lineage: Eukaryota; Metazoa; Chordata; Mammalia; Diprotodontia; Phascolarctidae.